UUCGAAAUGAUCUUUAAAAGUGGGGGAAAGGAGAUUUUUCGGAGAUUUUUUGGAGCC
RNAcentral lists this microRNA precursor (57 nucleotides) under Caenorhabditis briggsae. RNAcentral's name for it is "microRNA cbr-mir-7592 precursor". The record is from miRBase by way of RNAcentral. Lineage: Eukaryota; Metazoa; Nematoda; Chromadorea; Rhabditida; Rhabditidae.